UACUCCUUUAUCUUCAGCUUCUGUUGAUUAGCUCGUUUUCCCUGCGGCCUCUUCUGUCGCUUUCCGUGUUGCAGUUUUGCGAGGGAAAUGGCGGCCCCGGAGCCGCCGCUACCGCCCAUGUCAAGAGGAUGCCAGAGCUCUGCUUCGCUCUCUCCGUCCCGGGGCGACCGAACCCUUCUAGUGAGGCACCUGCCAGCCGAGCUGACUGCUGAGGAGAAAGAGGAUUUGCUGAAGUAUUUCGGGGCGCAGUCGGUGCGCGUCCUGUCAGAUAAGGGACGACUGAAACAUACAGCUUUUGCUACUUUCCCUAAUGAAAAGGCAGCUAUAAAGGCAUUGACAAGACUACAUCAGCUAAAACUUUUGGGUCAUACUUUAGUUGUUGAAUUUGCAAAAGAACAAGAUCGAGUUCAUUCCCCAUGUCCCUCUUCAGACACUGAAAAAAAGAAAAGAUCUGAUGACCCUGUGGAAGAUGAUAAAGAAAAGAAAGAACUUGGUUGUUUAACCAUAGAAAAUGGGAUUGCACCAAACCACGGGCUGACUUUUCCUCUGAAUUCAUGCCUCAAGUAUAUGUACCCACCACCUUCAAGCACAAUCCUAGCAAACAUUGUAAAUGCUUUGGCAAGUGUGCCUAAGUUCUAUGUACAGGUACUUCAUCUUAUGAAUAAAAUGAAUUUGCCCACACCUUUUGGACCAAUUACAGCACGACCUCCCAUGUAUGAAGACUAUAUGCCAUUACAUGCACCUCUUCCACCUACAUCUCCUCAGCCACCAGAGGAACCUCCUUUGCCAGAUGAGGAUGAGGAAUUAUCAAGUAAAGAAUCAGAAUAUGAAAGCAGUGAUGAUGAAGACCGACAGAGAAUGACCAAACUAAUGGAACUAGCAAAUCUUCAGCCCAAAAGACCGAAAACAAUAAAGCAGCACCAUGUUAGAAAAAAGCAAAAAAUAAAGGAUAUGUUGAAAACACCAUCUACUUCACACAGCAGUUUACAUCCAGUGCUGUUACCUUCGGAUGUAUUUGACCAACCACAACCUGUAGGUAAUAAGAAAAUUGAAUUUCAUAUAUCUACUGAUAUGCCAUCUGCAUUUAAGAAAGAUCUAGAAAAAGAACAAAAUCGUGAAGAACAAAAUUAUGAUUUACCUGCUACUGAAGGUGAUACACCCAAUGUAGGAUUUGGAAAAAUCUUCCCCAAACCUAAUUUGAACAUCACAGAGGAGAUUAAAGAAGACUGUGAUGAAAUGCCAUCAGAAUGUAUUUCUAGAAGGGAGUUGGAAAAAGGCAGAAUUUCUAGAGAAGAAAUGGAAACACUUUCAGUUUUCAGAAGUUAUGAACCUGGUGAACCGAACUGUAGAAUUUACGUAAAGAAUUUAGCUAAACAUGUUCAAGAAAAGGACCUUAAGUUUAUUUUUGGGAGAUAUGUUGACUUUUCUUCAGAAACACAACGGAUAAUGUUUGAUAUCCGUUUGAUGAAAGAAGGUCGCAUGAAAGGACAAGCUUUCAUUGGACUUCCAAAUGAAAAAGCAGCAGCAAAAGCCUUAAAGGAAGCUAAUGGAUAUGUUCUUUUUGGAAAACCGAUGGUGGUUCAAUUUGCUCGAUCUGCUAGACCAAAACAAGAUUCUAAAGAAGGAAAAAGAAAGUGCUAAAAAUUAAUAAAGAAGCAUUCCUGCGUAAAUACUGCUGUAAUACUGUCAUACAAAGUGUAUCCUUUCUUGUUGAAUAAGAAAAUAGGAACAGAGGGAAGAAGACAUAAUGUUGACUCAGGGUAGCACAUUAAGUGAAAAGAAACAGUACUGGUAGGUAUACAGAAUAACAGUGGUUUCCAGAAUGGUUGAUGACCAGAAUUACUCAAAACAGUGGUUUUUUAUCUUGGCCACAUUUUGGAAAUCACCUGAGAAACUUUUGAAAAAUACUGAUAAAAGAAAAAAGGCUAAAAAAUA
RNA transcript from Hyaena hyaena (striped hyena), 1935 nucleotides. It is a transcript of the gene named RNA binding region (RNP1, RRM) containing 3, with no coding region annotated. The record is from RefSeq and is a predicted model, not a curated record. NCBI's taxonomy places the organism in Eukaryota, Metazoa, Chordata, Mammalia, Carnivora, Hyaenidae. The transcript is spliced from 16 exons.